Molecule: unclassified non-coding RNA, 222 nt
Filed under: Hevea brasiliensis (rubber tree)
Lineage: Eukaryota; Viridiplantae; Streptophyta; Magnoliopsida; Malpighiales; Euphorbiaceae
Source: RNAcentral
GAUAUACAUGACCAGUUUGGCUAUUCCAUUUUGUAGCACAUCCAUGUGUGAGAUAAGGAGGAGAUACAUUUGAAAUUCCCACUGACAUAUCUAUUCUGAGUAAUAUGCGACAAUUUGUGAAAUACAAUUGUUUGAAACAAUUUGCUCUAAGAUUUACUGCUGUUGUAUUUGCAGUUGUCGAGAGAGAGAUUUUUUUGUUAUUUUAAGUGAUGUAGCAUGUGG